This 468-nucleotide ribosomal RNA is filed under the name uncultured bacterium. RNAcentral's name for it is "partial 16S ribosomal RNA". It matches the Rfam family "Bacterial small subunit ribosomal RNA", at positions 28 to 507 of the family's 1533-position model. The record is from RNAcentral.
GACGAACGCUGGCGGCGUGCUUAACACAUGCAAGUCGAACGGAAAGGCCCUGCUUUUGUGGGGUGCUCGAGUGGCGAACGGGUGAGUAACACGUGGGUAACCUGCCCUUGACUUUGGGAUAACUUCAGGAAACUGGGGCUAAUACCGGAUAGGAGCUCCUGCUGCAUGGUGGGGGUUGGAAAGUUUCGGCGGUUGGGGAUGGACUCGCGGCUUAUCAGCUUGUUGGUGGGGUAGUGGCUUACCAAGGCUUUGACGGGUAGCCGGCCUGAGAGGGUGACCGGCCACAUUGGGACUGAGAUACGGCCCAGACUCCUACGGGAGGCAGCAGUGGGGAAUAUUGCGCAAUGGGCGGAAGCCUGAUGCAGCAACGCCGCGUGCGGGAUGACGGCCUUCGGGUUGUAAACCGCUUUCGCCUGUGACGAAGCGUGAGUGACGGUAAUGGGUAAAGAAGCACCGGCUAACUACGUG